Molecule: ribosomal RNA, 305 nt
Filed under: uncultured bacterium
Lineage: Bacteria
Description: bacterial SSU rRNA
Rfam family: Bacterial small subunit ribosomal RNA
Source: RNAcentral
CGUCCUACGGGACGCAGCAGUGAGGAAUAUUGGUCAAUGGGCGGGAGCCUGAACCAGCCAAGUCGCGUGAGGGAAGACGGUCCUAUGGAUUGUAAACCUCUUUUGUCGGGGAGCAAAGAGGCCACGUGUGGUCAAAAGCGAGAGUACCCGAAGAAAAAGCAUCGGCUAACUCCGUGCCAGCAGCCGCGGUAAUACGGAGGAUGCGAGCGUUAUCCGGAUUUAUUGGGUUUAAAGGGUGCGUAGGCGGGACGGUAAGGCAGCGGUAAAAAUGCGGAGGUCAACUCCGGAGAGCAGUUGAAACUGCC